GACGAACGCUGGCGGCGUGCUUAACACAUGCAAGUCGAACGGAAAGGCCCUGCUUUUGUGGGGUGCUCGAGUGACGAACGGGUGAGUAACACGUGAGUAACCUGCCCUUGACUUUGGGAUAACUUCAGGAAACUGGGGCUAAUACCGGAUAGGAGCUCCUGCUGCAUGGUGGGGGUUGGAAAGUUUCGGCGGUUGGGGAUGGACUCGCGGCUUAUCAGCUUGUUGGUGGGGUAGUGGCUUACCAAGGCUUUGACGGGUAGCAGGCCUGAGAGGGUGACCGGCCACAUUGGGACUGAGAUACGGCCCAGACUCCUACGGGAGGCAGCAGUGGGGAAUAUUGCACAAUGGGCGGAAGCCUGAUGCAGCAACGCCGCGUGCGGGAUGACGGCCUUCGGGUUGUAAACCGCUUUCGCCUGUGACGAAGCGUGAGUGACGGUAAUGGGUAAAGAAGCACCGGCUAACUACGUU
This 468-nucleotide ribosomal RNA is filed under the name uncultured bacterium. Its description in RNAcentral is "partial 16S ribosomal RNA". It matches the Rfam family "Bacterial small subunit ribosomal RNA", at positions 28 to 507 of the family's 1533-position model. The record is from RNAcentral.